Molecule: ribosomal RNA, 460 nt
Filed under: uncultured bacterium
Lineage: Bacteria
Description: partial 16S ribosomal RNA
Rfam family: Bacterial small subunit ribosomal RNA
Source: RNAcentral
CCUACGGGAGGCAGCAGUGAGGAAUAUUGGUCAAUGGACGAGAGUCUGAACCAGCCAAGUAGCGUGAAGGAUGACUGCCCUAUGGGUUGUAAACUUCUUUUAUAUGGAAAUAAAACGUUCCACGUGUGGGAUUUUGUAUGUACCAUAUGAAUAAGGAUCGGCUAACUCCGUGCCAGCAGCCGCGGUAAUACGGAGGAUCCGAGCGUUAUCCGGAUUUAUUGGGUUUAAAGGGAGCGUAGGUGGAUUGUUAAGUCAGUUGUGAAAGUUUGCGGCUCAACCGUAAAAUUGCAGUUGAAACUGGCAGUCUUGAGUACAGUAGAGGUGGGCGGAAUUCGUGGUGUAGCGGUGAAAUGCUUAGAUAUCACGAAGAACUCCGAUUGCGAAGGCAGUUCACUGGACUGCAACUGACACUGAGGCUCGAAAGUGUGGGUAUCAAACAGGAUUAGAUACCCCUGUAGUC